GCAGGGGUCGCCAAGCCUGGUCAACGGCGCUGGACUUAAGAUCCAGUGAGUCAGUCUCUUCGAGGGUUCGAAACAACUGGUGCUCUGUUGAUGUGCAUUCUACAUUCGUUUCUUUGAUUCGAUGUAGAUUAUAUUUAUUGAAAUUAUUUGCGCAUUGGCGGGUCUUUGUUGGGAAAUUCCCUUCCCCUGCA
RNAcentral lists this transfer RNA (191 nucleotides) under Candidatus Terrarchaeum hikurangii. Its description in RNAcentral is "tRNA-Leu". The record is from RNAcentral. RNAcentral also lists the same sequence under 1 other name. Lineage: Archaea; Nanobdellati; Candidatus Terrarchaeota; Candidatus Terrarchaeia; Candidatus Terrarchaeales; Candidatus Terrarchaeaceae.